AUGCACUCGUCAUUCAUCGUUGACAGUGAGACAUUCCAUGCUCACCGAGCGGUGCUUGCUGCCCGCUCACCGGUCUUCAGAGCAGAGCUCUUUGGUUCAAUGUCGGAGGCUACAAUUUCGUCCAUCAUGAUGCAUGACAUCACACCUACAACAUUCAAACUUAUGCUCCGGUUCAUAUAUGCAGAUGAAUUGCCCAUGGAAUAUGAGCAUGAGGACUCUUCUACUGAGAAGUUCCAGGACCUGCUUGCUGCAGCUGAUCGGUAUGCACCGAACCGACUAAAGAUUAUUUGCGCCCAGAAGUUGUGGGAGAAAGUGUCUGUAGAUACAACUGCAACUAUCUUAGCUUUUGCCGAAACCUACAACUGUUGGGAGUUGAAGAAAAAGCGCAUUGACUUCUUUGUAGUGGACGAAAAUUUCAAGAGGGCUAUGUUCACUGAUGGUUAUGCAUUGAUGCUUCUGAAAUUCCUAGAGGUUGUUGCUGAGCUAAAAAGAGGAUUUAUGAGAUAA
This 507-nucleotide ribosomal RNA is filed under the name Triticum aestivum (bread wheat). RNAcentral's name for it is "partial small subunit ribosomal RNA". The record is from RNAcentral. Lineage: Eukaryota; Viridiplantae; Streptophyta; Magnoliopsida; Poales; Poaceae.